GAGGGUUCAAGUCUUAAUGGAAUUAUUUGGCGUAAAGCGCACGCAGGCGGUCUGUCUAGUCGGAUGUGAAAUCGCCGGGCUCAACCUGGGAACUGCAUUCGAAACUGGCAGGCUAGAGUACUGUAGAGGGGGUGGAAUUCCAGGUGUAGCGGUGAAAUGCGUAGAGAUCUGGAGGAAUACCGGUGGCGAAGGCGGCUCUCUGCACAUAGACUGACGUUCAGGUGCGAAAGCGUGGGGAGCAAACAGGAUUAGAUACCCUGGUAGUCCACGCCGUAAACGAUGUCGACUUGGAGGUUGUGCCCUUGAGGCGUGGCUUCCGGAGGUAACCCCUUAAAUCGACCGCCUGGGGAGUACGGCCGCAAGGUUAAAACUCAAAUGAAUUGACGGGGGCCCGCACAAGCGGUGGAGCAUGUGGUUUAAUUCGACGCAACGAGAAGAACCUUACCUGGUCUUGACAUCCACAGAACUUUCCAGAGAUGGAUUGGUGCCUUCGGGAACUGUGAGACAGGUCCCGCAUGGCCGUCGUCAGGUUGUGUUGUGAAAUUUUGGGUUAAGUCCCGCAACGAGCGCAACCCUUAUCCUUUGUUGCCAGCGGUUAGGCCGGGAACUCAAAGGAGACUGCCAGUGAUAAACUGGAGGAAGGUGGGGAUGACGGCAAGUCAUCAUGCCCCUUAUGAGCAGGGCUACACACGUGCUACAAUGGUGCAUACAAAGAGAAGUGACCCCGCGAGAGCAAGCGUACCUCAUAAAUUACUUCGUAGUCCGGAUGGAGUCUGCAACUAGAAUCCAGAAGUGGAAUCUCUAGUAGUCAUGGAUCAGUACAUCGCA
This 828-nucleotide ribosomal RNA is filed under the name Enterobacter sp. CZS-8-4B. RNAcentral describes it as "bacterial SSU rRNA". It matches the Rfam family "Bacterial small subunit ribosomal RNA", at positions 528 to 1359 of the family's 1533-position model. The record is from RNAcentral. Lineage: Bacteria; Pseudomonadati; Pseudomonadota; Gammaproteobacteria; Enterobacterales; Enterobacteriaceae.